CAAAGAAUCGAAAAGAAAAAAAAAAGAUCGAGAGAAAACGGAAAAUAAAACUCAAAAUCUCCUUCAAAUUCGAUUUCUUUUUCUUCUUUUUUUGUAUACAAUCUCUAUGAAUGCGUGGGUGUAUUCUUGGCUUUUUUAUAGCCUGAUUUUUUACAGAGGAAAAAGAAAAUAAAAAUAAAAAUAAAUAAAAGGAAAAUUACCCCG
This 204-nucleotide long non-coding RNA is filed under the name Gossypium raimondii (Peruvian cotton). RNAcentral's name for it is "long non-coding RNA (GRAI_LNC000460)". The record is from RNAcentral. Lineage: Eukaryota; Viridiplantae; Streptophyta; Magnoliopsida; Malvales; Malvaceae.